GAUGAACGCUGGCGGCGUGCCUAACACAUGCAAGUCGAACGGAAAGGGCCAAGUUUGCCCUGGUAUUCGAGUCGCGCACGGGAGUGUAACAUGUGGAUGAUCCUCGCUGCACUUCGGGACAUGCCUGGGAAACCGGUACUAAUACCGGCUAGGUCCAGUUCGUAGUUGUUGUGGUGGAAAGCUUUCUCGGUGUGGGAUGGGUUCGGGGCCUAACAGCUUGUUGGUGGAGUAGUGGCCUACCAAGGCGUAUACGGGUAGCCGGCCUGAGAGAGUGUAGGGCCAGAUUGGGACUGGGAUCCGGCCCAGGGUACUACGGGAGACAGCAGAGGGGAAGAUUGAGCAAUGGGCGGAAGCCUGAUGCAGCGACGCGGCGUGGGAGAUGACGGCCUUCGGGUUGUAAACUCCUUUCGACAAAGACGAAUUUAGGACGUUAUUUGGAGAAGAAGCACCGGCUAACUACGUG
Molecule: ribosomal RNA, 463 nt
Filed under: uncultured bacterium
Lineage: Bacteria
Description: partial 16S ribosomal RNA
Rfam family: Bacterial small subunit ribosomal RNA
Source: RNAcentral